RNAcentral lists this ribosomal RNA (324 nucleotides) under uncultured bacterium. RNAcentral's name for it is "bacterial SSU rRNA". It matches the Rfam family "Bacterial small subunit ribosomal RNA", at positions 165 to 509 of the family's 1533-position model. The record is from RNAcentral.
AAUACCCCAUACUCCUUCUUAUCAUAAGGUAAGUUGGGAAAGAUUUAUUGCUAAAGGAUGGGGCUUUAUUGUAUCAGCUAGUUGGUGGGGUAAUGGCCUACCAAGGCGAUGACGCAUACCUGGUCUGAGAGGAUGAUCAGGCACACUGGAACUGAGACACGGUCCAGACUCCUACGGGAGGCAGCAGUGGGGAAUAUUGCACAAUGGGGGAAACCCUGAUGCAGCAACGCCGCGUGGAGGAUGACGCAUUUCGGUGUGUAAACUCCUUUUAUAAGGGAAGAUAAUGACGGUACCUUAUGAAUAAGCACCGGCUAACUCCGUGCC